RNAcentral lists this transfer RNA (64 nucleotides) under Osmylus lucalatus. RNAcentral describes it as "tRNA-Arg". Lineage: Eukaryota; Metazoa; Arthropoda; Insecta; Neuroptera; Osmylidae. The record is from RNAcentral.
AAGUAUGAAGCAAAAUUUGCAAUUAGUUUCGACCUAAUCUUUUGAUAUAACUUAUCCUUACUUU